Triticum aestivum (bread wheat) is the source of this 136-nucleotide non-coding RNA. The record is from Rfam. NCBI's taxonomy places the organism in Eukaryota, Viridiplantae, Streptophyta, Magnoliopsida, Poales, Poaceae.
UACGUACUCCCUCCGUUCCACAAUACAUGACUUCCAUUUGUCAAAAUAUAGAUGUAUCUAGACAUGUUUUAGUAUAUAGGUACAUCCAUUUUUGAACAAAUGGAAGUCAAGUAUUUUGGAAUGGAGGUAGUACUAU